Long non-coding RNA from Parambassis ranga (Indian glassy fish), 2113 nucleotides. NCBI's taxonomy places the organism in Eukaryota, Metazoa, Chordata, Actinopteri, Ambassidae. The record is from Ensembl.
UCUGCUCUCUGCUCUGACCUAUACCCAUGUGAGGCACCAAUAACACUGGGUGGGAUAUUCAGUCUGUUCCCCCUCUCCCUCCCCAGCCCUCUGCUUAGCUUGGCUCUUUCCUCCCCCCCUGCGCUGCUUUGCUUUGCUCCAAACUGUCCCCAUCUUCAAUGCUGCCACUCCGGCAGCUCCAAAUUCCCCAGCACCUGUAAGCUUAGAAUUUAUGCUUUAUUUUCUUUUUUUUAAUCCUGGUGUCCAACCUGUGGAAGACAUGGGUAAAGAGAGAAGACUGUGAUAACUAAAUGGACCUGCAAUAAUUUACUGACUGGGAUGCUUUUUUUGACUUGAAAACUUGAUACUGAUUCACUGAAGCUGUCACCAGUCAGUCCUGCAUGAGGAGGCUUUGCCCCCAGCUUGGAGGAUCCUACCUGAAGUAGACUCCACAUCACCAUGGCUGAAGGAGCUAAAUCCGCCUCCCACCCUGCAGCCGCUGCAUCCAAUGGAGCAGCGGCCCAAAGCUCCCUCAGAUCCAAAGGUCUGGGGCUGCUCAGGAAGCUGAAAAUGUCUGUGGAGCUGCUCUUUGCUCUGGCUGCUCUGCUGUCCUGGGUGGUUGUAGGUGUGGUGAUGUUUGACUUUGUGGAGUACAAGGCAGUCCCAGAUGUUCAGCAAAUCAUUACGGAUCCUGUUCAAGCUGUAAACGAUGCUGUUGAUGAAGUGACCAGUCUGUUUAAUAAAUUUCAAGAAUGUGCACCUGAUUUGAGCGACCCCAUGUCUGCUGCCACGUACGCAGCUGAGGAAAUAUCGGUGGCAAAAGAUGGAAUUGUUCGAUACUUUUCAGACGAGGAAGGGACCUUCUACCUCAGCUACGUCGACCCUGUGGUCAUUGGUAGACGAGCCUUCCAUUCAACCAAUGACUUCAUGUGUGGAGUGGUGGGCCCCUUCAGGGACACACUCUCUGCUGCUGUGGAUACCAUAUUAGAUACCAUAACAGAUAUAAAUAAAGGAAAAAUUGAUCUUAGCUACAUUGACCCUGUUGUAGUAGGCAGAGGUGUCUUUAGUGUUACUAAUGAGCUCAUGAACGGACUAACAGCCUACAUCCAGGAUGCACUCUGUUACAUGAUGGACACUACACUGGAUGUAGUGAAAGGAACCACUGACGUUAGCUUCAUGGACCCCGUGGUCAUUGGCAGAAAUGUCUUCACUAUUACAAAUGACACCGUCAGUGGACUAGUGGGCUAUAUCCAGGACUUACUCUGUGCCAUCCUAGACACUAUCCUGGAUAUAACUAAAGGACAAACUGACGUUAGCUUCAUUGACCCUGUGGUUGUUGGCAGAAAAGCCUUCAGUGUUAUUAAUGACUUUGUGAGUGGAAUAGCUGAAUACAUCCAGGAUGUGCUCUGUGCCAUCUUGGAUGUUAUACUCGAUGCAUUAAAAGAUAUCGAGGAAGCUGUGGGCUUCAGUCCCAUGUCUGUUCUGAAGACAGCAGCAGAAAUCACCAAAGAACACACAAACAUGCUUGUGAGCUACGUCUCCUCAACACUGAUUGGGGAACAAGGGAUCGUACCUGAAGUCUCCAUUGACCCCAUGAAAGUUGUUGAAGACGCUGUGCUGGAGUUCACAGACAAGAAAGAUCUGUUCAUGGCUUACAUGUCAAGCAUGCUUGUUGGUGACCAAGAUGAAAGUGCAGCUUCCCCAGCUGAUAUCAAUCUUGUAAGAAGAAAAGGGGAAUUUCUGCCACCUUUAGAAAAAGUUGCAGAGACCUUGCAUGAAGUAGAUGAAGCUGCUCAGACAAAAACUGAAGAGGUGGAGGCAGAAGCUCCCUUUGAAGUUGCCAGUGAAGCACAGGCAGAGGAAGAGGAAGUGAAACAUGUCCACCUUGAAGAAAAAGAACCUGAACCAUCACUGAAAGAAGUGGAAAUCAUUGAAGAGGAGGAAGAGGAGGAGCAGGAGGGAAAGGGCAAAGAGGUUGUUGAGGAGGAAGAAGAAGAGAAGGAGGAAGGUGUAGAGCAAUUGGAGAAAAAGGAAGAAGAGGUUGGGGAGGCAGAAGAGGGUGAUGGUACAGAGGAACCCAUAGACAUUAAGAUAGAGGAGGCUGUGGUAGAAGAGGAGGAGGAGGUGGAGGAGG